CAGCAGCCGCGGGAAUACGAAGGGGGCUAGCGUUGUUCGGAAUUACUGGGCGUAAAGCGCACGUAGGCGGAUAUUUAAGUCAGGGGUGAAAUCCCGCAGCUCAACUGCGGAACUGCCUUUGAUACUGGGUAUCUUGAGUAUGGAAGAGGUAAGUGGAAUUGCGAGUGUAGAGGUGAAAUUCGUAGAUAUUCGCAGGAACACCAGUGGCGAAGGCGGCUUACUGGUCCAUUACUGACGCUGAGGUGCGAAAGCGUGGGGAGCAAACAGGAUUAGAUACCCGCGUAGUCCCUGUCUCUUAUAC
Molecule: ribosomal RNA, 301 nt
Filed under: uncultured bacterium
Lineage: Bacteria
Description: partial 16S ribosomal RNA
Rfam family: Bacterial small subunit ribosomal RNA
Source: RNAcentral